CAUGCAAGUCGAACGCUGAAGCACUCUGCUUGCAGAGUGCGGAUGAGUGGCGAACGGGUGAGUAACACGUGGGGAAUCUGCCUAGGAGUGGGGGAUAACAUUCGGAAACGGAUGCUAAUACCGCAUAUCUUCUUAGACCGCAUGGUCUAUGAAUGAAAGACGGCUUUGCUGUCGCUCUUAGAUGAUCCCGCGGCGUAUUAGUUAGUUGGUGGGGUAAAGGCCUACCAAGACAAUGAUACGUAGCCGACCUGAGAGGGUGAUCGGCCACACUGGGACUGAGACACGGCCCAGACUCCUACGGGAGGCAGCAGUAGGGAAUCUUCCACAAUGGGUGCAAACCUGAUGGAGCAAUGCCGCGUGAAUGAAGAAGGUCUUCGGAUCGUAAAGUUCUGUUAUUAGUGAAGAACAAAUCGAGGAGUAACUGUCUCGAUUUUGACGGUAACUAACCAGAAAGUCACGGCUAACUACGUGCCAGCAGCCGCGGUAAUACGUAGGUGACAAGCGUUGUCCGGAAUUAUUGGGCGUAAAGGGAGCGCAGGCGGUUGGAAUAGUCUGAUGUGAAAGCCCACGGCUUAACCGUGGAAGGUCAUUGGAAACUGUCCAACUUGAAUGCAGAAGAGGUAAGUGGAAUUCCAUGUGUAGCGGUGAAAUGCGUAGAUAUAUGGAGGAACACCAGUGGCGAAGGCGACUUACUGGUCUGUAAUUGACGCUGAGGCUCGAAAGCGUGGGUAGCGAACAGGAUUAGAUACCCUGGUAGUCCACGCCGUAAACGAUGAGUGCUAAGUGUUGGAGGGUUUCCGCCCUUCAGUGCUGGAGUUAACGCAUUAAGCACUCCGCCUGGG
Molecule: ribosomal RNA, 842 nt
Filed under: uncultured Atopostipes sp.
Lineage: Bacteria; Bacillati; Bacillota; Bacilli; Lactobacillales; Carnobacteriaceae
Description: bacterial SSU rRNA
Rfam family: Bacterial small subunit ribosomal RNA
Source: RNAcentral